CAUCAACAGUUUUAAUACUUAUGCAGAAAACGAAACAAUUUCAUAUACAAUGAAUAAUGGAUACACCAUUGCCUAAACUGUGUGAAGCGUGUACGAGAUAAUGAUUUGAAUUUGUUAUCAAAUAAUUAUUAGUCACUGUUUAAAAAGGUUUUAAGUGAUCACAAAAAAACGAAAUGCACGAUGCCUACAUUCUUUAUCCACCGGAAAAGAUUCCGGUUCAAAUCGAGUCGAUGGCUGGCUUUGAAAAUAAGCUCAUCCUCGGAACUAGACAGGGACAUCUGCUGAUGUACUCUUUCGAGCCGAAUCCGGAUAGCAACAAGCUGGACCUCCAGCUGCUGCAGUAUGAUAAAAAUUUUAGCAAAAAGCCCAUCACUCAAAUAGAAGCGAUUCCGGAAUAUAAGUUGAUUUUCAGCCUAUCGGAUGGUGUGGUUAACGUGAACGACUACAGCCGGCAUGGGUUUCCACUGAUCCACACAGCCCAGAAAACCAAGGGGGCAACCGUAUUCGCAUUAGAUAUUAAGAAAUCUAAAUCACUCACUGGAGAGUUGGCUUUAGUAUGUCGAUUGUGUGUAGCGGUCAAGCGGAAGCUGCAGUGCUACUACUGGAAGCAGAACGAAUUGCUUGAGUUUGGAAACGACAUCGAUUUAAAUGACGUUCCGAAAACGAUUGCCUGGAAUAAUAGCUGGAUCUGCGUGGGAUUCAAAACGGAAUACGUGAUCUAUGAUAUUUCAGGAGAACAACCUAAGAAAAUCGAUUUAUUUCCCACGAGCUCAUCGAAAUCAAUUGAACCAUGCAUCUCUUUGAUCGAAGAUGGAGUUUUCGCCGUAGCCAAGGAUGAAUAUUUGGUAACUGUGUACACCGAAAAGUAUAAAACUGACGGUAAAGAAAAUAGCAGUGGUUUGGUGAAACCUGAUGCCUCGAUGUUGACUACUAAAGACACCCGGAAUUUGAAAUCUUUGAUCUGGAGUGAACCUUUCCAAGGACUAGUUUGGGACGAACCAUACAUCAUCGGAUUGGUGACAGAUGGUGUAGAAGUUAGGGUUUUCGAUAACAUUGAGAUGUCUGAUAAGGGAUCGUUGAUCCAAACGAUUCCCCAAUUGCAAAAAGCGCGAUUCUUGGCACGUGGGAAACAAGGACUGCUCUAUGCCGCAUCCGUUUCACAUUUGUGGUGCAUCCAAGCGGUAGAAAUUUCCAAACAACGAGAGCAUCUUUUGCAGCAAGAAAAUUUCCAUCUUGCUUUACAAUUGACGAAUAUUUCUGAGGAAAGCGCAGAAUUCAAAGCGACUAAAAUAGACGAAAUUCAAACUCGUCAUGCAUACAACUUGUUUGUUAAUAAACACUUUCGCGAGUCGAUGAAAGAGUUUUCCAAACUCAACACGGAUCCUAUUGAUGUGAUUCGAUUGUUCCCAGAUCUCUUACCAGAUAGUGGUAAAAACAAGCUAAGUUCUUAUUCCAAAAAAACAGCUCCUGAACUCGAUGAAAAAGAUCUAGAGAAUGGUAUUCUCGCAUUGAUCGAUUAUUUGACGGAAAUUCGAUAUAGCCUGCGCCAAGAUUUGGUCAACAAAACUGACUCCAAGGUUUCUUCUGGAAAGAAUAUUUCAGCCCUUCUUUCAAUUAUUGAUACAACGUUACUAAAAUGUUACCUUCAAACUAGUGAUUCAAUGGUGGCAUCUGUAUUGCGGAUGAACUAUUGCUAUCUAGAAGAAUCUGAGCGUGUCUUAAAAAAACAUGACAAAUAUGUUGAAUUGAUUAUCCUUUACCAAACCAAAGGCCAACAUAAACGUGCUCUACAAUUGCUGCAAUCGCAAACCGACUGCCCUGGAUCUCCCUUGUAUGGACACGAUAGGACAAUACAGUACCUGCAACAUCUAGGCAUCGAAGAUAAGCAACUAAUUUUUGAGUUCUCCGGUUGGGUGCUAGAGAAACAUCCAGACGAUGGAUUGAAAAUAUUUAUCGAAGACAUUCCAGAAGUCAAAAAUCUUCCACGUGCAGAGGUUUUGGAUUUUUUGUUGAAGGAUCAUAAAAAACUUGUGGUGCGCUAUCUGGAACACAUUAUCAACGUUUGGGAUGAACAAAAAGCACUUUUCCACAACAUUUUGAUUCAACAGUACCGCGAAAAACUGAUUUCUUUGAAAAAUGAUCCUGAUAUUGAGAACGAUAUACAAAAGAGAACUGCUCGGGAUACAGUAAAUGCCAAGUUGCUUGCGUUUCUUAGAAAAUCUAAAUAUUACCAUGCUGAAAAGGUGCUCGGUGAUUUCCCUUACACAGAUUUAUUUGAAGCUCGAGCAAUUAUUCUAGGACGUUUAGACAAACACGAGAAAGUGCUAGCGAUUUUUGUACAAAUACUUGGUGACUUUGACAAAGCUAUCGAAUACUGUGACCAAACGUAUGACAGUUAUGAUCCCAAAAGCUGCGAUGUGUAUGUUACAUUGAUUGAAACAAUUCUUACUCCCCCCACGGUCCCCCCCUACAGUGAUGCCCAAUUUCAUCCACGUUGUUUAAACCCUGAUAUCGAAACUGUGCUGGGUAUUCUAGAGAAAAAUGCUAAGAAAAUUAAUCCUUACGCUGUGCUACCGAUUCUGCCAGAUAACAUUCCAUUGAGCAGCAUCAAAACAUUCCUUGAGAUAGCACUGAAUCAUCACUUGGAGCGGAAACGUAAAUGUCAGAUCCUCAAGGGCCUUUACUAUGCCGAGCAUCUGCAGACGCACGAACAGAAAAUUCACUAUGAAUCGAAGCAGUUUCUGGUAGAGGAACACAGCGUGUGUCCAGUAUGCAAGAAAAAGUUUAGCUACCAGAGCGCAUUUGUGCGAACGGCCGAGGGCAGCAUUGUGCAUUUCUCCUGUCAGGAUAAAGUUUGAAGCUUGAAUUUUCAGGAAUGAAUCAUUCUACCGGAAAAUUGAAGUUAAUUUGACCUGUGUCAGAGGAUGACAAAUGGAUCGAAACGUCGAUGGAAGGAGUACAACGAAAUAAAGUAUGUGGAUUUGAUCUCGGCACCCCGUGGUAAAUUCAGUUUGGCAACGAUCU
Molecule: RNA transcript, 3024 nt
Organism: Uranotaenia lowii
Lineage: Eukaryota; Metazoa; Arthropoda; Insecta; Diptera; Culicidae
Gene: Vps39
Gene name: vam6/Vps39-like protein
Exons: 8
Source: RefSeq, a predicted model, not a curated record